CCGAGUUAUACUCCAAACCCUUUGUGAACCUACCAUUUGUUGCUCGGCGCGCGGCGGUUAGGCCAACCCGCGACGCGCCAGAGGACCCAAACUCUUAUCUUAUAGCGUACCUUCUGAUUAAAAAGACAAACAGUCA
Molecule: unclassified non-coding RNA, 136 nt
Filed under: uncultured Microascales
Lineage: Eukaryota; Fungi; Ascomycota; Sordariomycetes; Microascales
Description: sequence contains ITS1
Source: RNAcentral